UGUCAGAGUGCUGGUUCCAACUGUCAGUGUGCUGGUUCCAACUGUCAGUGUGCCACAAUGCCUGUCAAUAUGUGAUUUUUUUCCUAUUCUGGAUCUGGUUGAGAGUGGUUCCCCUAUCCAGCUAGGACCCCCACAAAAGGGUACCACAUAGCAUGAUAAGUUUGGAGUGUCACGACAUGAGGGAAGUAGAAAGAAGACGUUGCAGAGCUGGAGGCUGUAUUGGACUCCUUCGAAUUAAGAAUUGGUGGAAAAUAAAACUCAUCCCACUGCUUGGGUGAGAGACAGAUGGUUUCCUGCCUGCUUCAUUCGGAAAAGAGGUCUCAUCCCACGCAGACAAAUUUCCUGAAAGAAACACAUCACAGAAUUUUGAAAGAGUGGUGUCUGCUAGAUGGCGGAUCAGGAGACCCUGAGCUUAUGUACCCUCCAAGGUACAGCUCAGAAGCUAUCCAUGAACAUAGAAACUAGAGGAGAGAUUGUAGGUUAGUGAAAGAGCCACACCAGGAUAUUAGAAGAAGCAUCUCAAGAAUAACUUCGACAGAAGAAAAGAAAGAGCAACUUUAAGUUCCUGGUAUGUUUCUAUGACCCAUGUUCCAGAGAAGACGCUCCUGGCUUCAGUCACCCCUGGGCCUCGCAGGGGACAGUGGACCCAUCAUGGGCUUCCCCAGAUGCCAGGGCCAGGCUGGAUAAACAGAUUUAGUUUCAUUUCCCUUUGGUAGAGUGGUGGAACUAGCAUGGUAUAAUCAAUGCAGAAUUAGGAAGACAGAGGGUGAGGUAGAGAGAAAAAGAGAAAGUAAGGAUACAUAAAUUAAUUGCUUUAAUAACAAUCUGGUAACUCUUUUGAGAGUGAGUUACUACAAUUUCAAGUUUUGGAAGUAAAAAUGCAUAAGAUGCAUUUUUAAAAAUUUAUGUUUUACUUUGUCAAACAUACGUGAAUUAAAGGUAAAACAGAUUUUGUAAGGAUAUUAUAAAACCCAUGUAGUGCUUUCUACUCUUCUGAAGCCAGUGUUUUCUUUCCUGGCAAUUGAUUGCACAUGUAUCUUUUAUUAGCAUGCUUACCUUGCUGUUUUUGGUUUGGGUUUGGGUUUUUUGGUUUGGGUUAAUAUUCUUAGCCACUUUUUAUUUUUAUUUAUUUUUGCAUCUUUUUAUACAAAUCUUAUUCUACACUCUCCCAGUUUAAAAGUAGUACAUUUUGUUUUGAUUAUUAGGGUCAGCUUGGGACUAGAAAAGACAAAACAGAAUAAUAAUGCAUUUACAAAACAAGAUGACAGCUGAAUGGCAACCUCCAGAAUAAUGAAAUCCAGCCUGUAAUCUUCCCUAUACACAAAAUCAUAUAAAAUUGUAUAAAGAAGUUAUAAGGCCAGAAGCCAUCCAAAUCUCAAAAGAAAACAGAGGAGGAAAAGUCCUUCACACUGACCUUUAAAGUGAUUGUAUAGGUAUGAAACAAGAAACACAACCAAUGAAAGAGAUCAAAUAAACAAUUCGGGCCUUAUCAAACUAAAAAUUCUUUACUUUUUAUAUUAUUUUUCUAUAAAAUUAAAGAAAAUAUUUACAAGUACUAUUCCACGUUACACAAAUAUUCAAAAUACUAAAGUAAAUCACAUGAAUCAACAAGAAAGUAAGAAUUAUAACUCGUCUCUGAGUAAAAACUUAAAAAGGGAUCAGCACAAAGACUCUCGACCCACUCUCCAGUUCCACAAAAAUAAGUAUGUCAAACUCAGAAUAAAGGAAUAGAAAAUUUCUUCCUCUGAAAGAUAAAGUUAUGUGUUUCAUAGUGACUGCACUGAUUUAAAAACUAAUUCUAGGUGCUUCCAAUAAUUCUGAAAAAAAUUCAUGCAUCUUGAUAUGAAAAAUAACUGUAUGUCUAUGUGAAUCCAAAAGUAUAAAGGCAGAGAAAAAUAAGUAACAAUACACAAUUAAUAACUCUAAACAUAUUAAUAUAUAUGUACCUUGAAAUAUUCGUGUGUGAUAUCAAUCAUGCUUUAAGUAUUUGCUGUUAAAUUUUAAAUUUUAGAAACUUGCUCAGUGAUCUAGUGACAUGCUUAUCAUACUUAAGGCCCUGUUUUCAAUCUCCAACACCACUAAAAUAAAAUGAAUUUUAACUCUUUGAAAUUUCUUUUACCAAGCUAGGCAAGAACGAUCUUGGCUCUUUCAUUGUAAAAAAUGAGUGGUCAUGUGACUGAGAUGUAUUUAGGCAUUUGCUUUGUUUCCUCUCCCUCUAGUAUCACAUAUAUACUCAGGGCUAUUCUCUAUGACUGCUUUAUUAGUAGGAUAACCUGUGCUAUAAUUAAUUUAAAAAUUAUUUGGAAAUAUUUGAUAGUAAAAAAGUGGUAACUUCUGCUCAUCCAGCCAUACAUUUUUAUCCAUAAUUUAGUUCUUUCUAAAGAGCUAACUAAACCCACUCAAUUAUCGCCAGAAUUUUCUCUUUUGUUUGUAACGCAGCCAAGAAACAAUGUUUAACUGUACUGGAAUGUAUCUUAUUUUAUAACUUAAUGAAUUAGGUAUCUAUUAAUUUUCCUUUGCUAUUUAGAUUAGACCCUGAACACUGCUUCAUUCUUUGAAAAACGUGUAAAUCUGACAUCAUUUGGGUUCAAUCUUCAAUUAUUUCAUUAUAAUAGAGCUGUUUUGCCAUAGACCUGUCUUACAUAAUGUGAAUAAUAUGAACAUGAUCUAAGACAUUUUUUUUGUGUGUCAGUUAGGCUUAAGGUCUGACAAAAUUGGUCAGUGAGUUUACAUUUUUUAAAAAAUAUAAAGCCACAAGAGAAAAUGCUAUUUGAAGCUAGUUUUAGUCACAAAGCCUGGGAAAUCUGAGAAAGAAUUUAUUAUAGAUUUACUGAAAUAUUUCGUGUAAAAUAUUCUACCCAAGGGAGAACACAAAAAUAUCAUAGUUUUUCCUUAAUUAUUUGGCAGGUGUAUGCUAUUUUAUUUUCUCAGUGGAAUUAAUUGUGCCAAUUAAUGAGACUAUGCAUAGGAAACUUUCAUCUAUAGGAAAAUUCUAUUCUUCUAAGGCUUUUAAGCCUCUGUAUUUCCUUUUAAAACUAGUAAAUACAAUCUCAUUUCAAUAAGUCAUCAGAAUCUUACUGCUACCAGUUCUCCCUUCUAAAUUAGUAGGUAACUUUCAGACAAGACUAUAUCAUUAAUUAUUAACCCAUUAAUUUUUAAUCCAUUCAUUGAAAUUUCAUUGUAUUUAAGAAAUAUUUGAGUUCUAAGAAAUUCUUACAAAAUGAUAGCAAACAAAUGAAGCUUGGAAUCAAUAAGGUAUGUACUCCAGGAUUUUGUUCAUCAUCUUUGCUCAUAUAUAAAUAAAAUUGUGACUCAUAACCUAGGGUUAGAUAACCCAGAAUUUCUUCUAAUAGGGAGAACAUGACAUAGGAUAAAUAUUUUUAUAUUAAAGGUACUGAUAGAUUUCCUUUUGUAUGACCCCAUGAUAAAACAGCACACAUAUGCAUGCAUGCACAUAUAUACACAAAACGUUUGUAACAUGAAGAAUAUUGUUACCAUAACUAGUCAGCUUAUAUUUUGAAUUCCAUAUUAGGUUCAAUUUAAUAUAGACACUUGUACUAAACAGACCAAAAUAAAUUACAAUUGUGAAAGAUAGGUUUUAACACUCAAUGUAACUCCAGAGAGUUUACUACUAAAAUUUUACCCAUGCAAAUAUCAGUUGGUCAAUGACCUUUUCCCCAGCAAACAUGAAUGCUUGGCUUUCCUAGAUAGAAAGAUUUGACUAUGUGGUUUUCAUAAUUUUUGUUACUUUGUCAUAUAAUAUUGGUUUAAAUUAGUACAGGGAGGGUUAUGGUCAAACUAAAAUAUAGGCCAAAGAAAAUAUAUUAAAAAUAGAAACUAUUUUAUAGCUAACUUCAAUAUGAUUAUUUUGAAAACUAAAUAAUGAGCUCAAGUCAGCAAGUGUUUUGAAUAAUUUUAACCAAAAAUCUUUCAAAAUAUAAAAGAAUGCAUAUGUGUGUGUGUGUGUGUGUGUGUGUGUGUGUGUAUAAGCUUUGAGGGAAGUAAUUUCUUUUGACUAAUUUUUUGCUCUAGUUCCAACAAGUAUAUAUAUAUAUAUAUAUUUCACAAGAAUGGAAUCAUGUAUUUCACUUAAAAUGUAUUUAAAAAUAACUAAUCAUUCAUAUUAACUUAAUAUUUAUGAAUAUAGUUAAUAACAAUUUUUAUUCUUAUAUAUCAUAUUUACUAUAUUAAUCUACUUUUAAUCUGGGAAAAUCCAAAAACUGUGAGCUUCUAUUAUUUUUUAUAUUUAUACAUUUUAAUGUUUAUCUUGCCUUAAUAUUCAUCUUUUCUCAGAACUAUGAGAUGUCAAAAUAAAAAAGUAUUUGAAAAAAAGUUUAUAUCCAGAUAAAGUCAUAUGAUUAUAUUUCUAUAAGUGAUAAUAUCUCAAGUGUUUUUCAAGCUAUAAGGACAAUUUUGGUUUUCUAGUUUGUAUAUCAUCAAAACUAAAAUACGGGGGCUG
This is a long non-coding RNA of Cavia porcellus (domestic guinea pig), 4459 nucleotides long. RefSeq lists it as uncharacterized. The record is from RefSeq and is a predicted model, not a curated record. The transcript is spliced from 5 exons. Lineage: Eukaryota; Metazoa; Chordata; Mammalia; Rodentia; Caviidae.